UUCUUACACGACAGCCUACCGACCUUCAGC
Molecule: non-coding RNA, 30 nt
Filed under: Rattus norvegicus (Norway rat)
Lineage: Eukaryota; Metazoa; Chordata; Mammalia; Rodentia; Muridae
Source: RNAcentral